Molecule: ribosomal RNA, 268 nt
Filed under: Pseudomonas aeruginosa
Lineage: Bacteria; Pseudomonadati; Pseudomonadota; Gammaproteobacteria; Pseudomonadales; Pseudomonadaceae
Description: partial 23S ribosomal RNA
Rfam family: Bacterial large subunit ribosomal RNA (bases 1-141)
Source: RNAcentral
AAACUUGCCUCAAGAUGAGAUCUCACUGGGAACUUGAUUCCCCUGAAGGGCCGUCGAAGACUACGACGUUGAUAGGCUGGGUGUGUAAGCGUUGUGAGGCGUUGAGCUAACCAGUACUAAUUGCCCGUGAGGCUUGACCAUAUAACACCCAAACCCUGAAGGGCCGUCGAAGACUACGACGUUGAUAGGCUGGGUGUGUAAGCGUUGUGAGGCGUUGAGCUAACCAGUACUAAUUGCCCGUGAGGCUUGACCAUAUAACACCCAAACA